Molecule: ribosomal RNA, 421 nt
Filed under: uncultured archaeon
Lineage: Archaea
Description: partial 16S ribosomal RNA
Rfam family: Archaeal small subunit ribosomal RNA
Source: RNAcentral
CUACGGGGCGCUGCAGUUAAGAAUAUUCUGCAAUGCGCGCAAGCGUGACAGAUUGAGCCAGAGUGCGUUCCUAUUGGAACGCUUUUGCCGAAUGUAAAAAGUUCGGCGAAUAAGGACUGGGUAAGACUAGUGCCAGCCGCCGCGGUAAUACUAGCGGUCCGAGUCGCAGCCAUUUUUAUUGGGUCUAAAACAUCCGUAGCUUGCUUAAUAAGUUUCCUGUGAAAUUUUAUGUCUUAAACAUAGAGCGGGCAGGAAGUACUGUUAAGCUAGAGACUGGAAGGCGUGGGAAGUAUGUUCAAAGUAGCGGUAAAAUGUGUUAAUCUUGGACAGACUCACAAUAGCGAAGGCAUCCUACGAGGACAGUUCUGACAGUAAGGGAUGAAGGCCAGGGGCGCAAAACGGAUUAGAUACCCCCGUAGUC